This 595-nucleotide long non-coding RNA is filed under the name Mytilus galloprovincialis (Mediterranean mussel). The record is from RNAcentral. Lineage: Eukaryota; Metazoa; Mollusca; Bivalvia; Mytilida; Mytilidae.
UGUAUUCUGUAUUCUGUAGGUGUCGCUGUUGACACUGGAUUGUCUCCCUUGUAAUUAUUUAAAUCUCGCGUGUAUUUAUAUUUCACUCUGGUAAACAACUCACUUGUACUUUAAAAUACAUACUAUUAGGUGGCAACUGUGCUUAACAUAUUUUUCCAAAAAUUAAAAAAUAUAUCUACAUUUAUUAAUUAACAUGAAAAUUUAAAGGAAAAGAAAGAAAAAAAAUCAAAAAAAAAUCUAACAUUACAUUAAUCAAACCUGCGCGACUCGCAAAUAAAGUCACCCAACAAUCGCAUUAGUGUUUCAUUAGAGACGGAGACAUUGUCGUUUUUUUCUAUUGACAAUAAAAGUUCCAAAUCAAUGUGUAACGAUCCUGUGUUGAAGUAUAUCUCAUGUAUAAGUUUCUGUCUUGCCUCUUCAUAAUUUUCACAAAAUAGUAAAUAAUGUUCCACAGUUUCUAAUUGACCGCAUUCACACUUUGGGUCUAUAUUUUGAUUGAUUUUGUUUUGAUAAUUUUUUAGGUAGUAUCCGGAUCUUAAAUUUCUAAUAAUUUUUGCUGUUUUGUGAUCUGGAUAAUUAAAUGUCGAUUUAUUGC